AUGACUGCAUGGAGUGCAGUUACCUUCCGACUGGAGCAGUACCUAUUGAUCUACUCACAUUUGCAUAUUUUUGAACUGCUAGGUUGGCAGAAGCUGGGGCUAACAGCAGGAGCUCCUGCCAACCUAGCAGUUCGAAAACAUGCAAAUGUGAGUAGAUCAAUAGGUACCGCUCCGGCGGGAAGGUAACAACGCUCCAUGUAGUCACGCCGGCCACAUGACCUUGGAGGUGUCUACGGACAAUGCUGGCUCUUCGGCUUAGAAAGGGAGAUGAGCACCAACCCCCAGAGUCGGUCACGACUAGACUUAACGUCAGGGGAAAACCUUUACCUUAUCCUUCUUGGAGAGGUUUAUUUUAUAAAAUGUAGACAUUGUGGGUUAAGAGUGGAAAGAGAAAUAAUGGUAACAAGGGAUGAGUGUGGACCCUUCUACACUGCCAUAUAAAAUCCAGAUUAUCUGCUUUAAACUGGAUUAUAUGGCAGUGUAGACUCAUAUAAUCCAGUUCAAAGCAGAUAAUGUGGAUUAUAUAGCAGUGUAGAAGGGGCCUGUAAGGACAUACUUAUGAAGGAUUCUUUUAGAUAGGGAAAUUAAAUAAAAUACCUGUAUAUAGACAUAUGUUUUAGGGACUGGGCUUAGCACAGCAGGCUAAACCACUGUGCUGCAGAAAAUCCUGCCGAUCGAAAGGUCAGCAAUUCGAGUCCAGGUUGGGGUGAGCAUCUGCUAUCAGCCUCAAUUCACCUGCCUGCCUAGCAGAUCAAAAGAAGAAAUGCAAGUAGAUAAAUAGGUACUGCUUUUAGUGGGGAAGUUAUAAAAAUAUGCCCUUAAGGACAUCAAUUGGAAGGACAUCUAAGGACGACAAAGCUCCUUGGCAUGGAAGAUGGAGCGACAGCCUCCCCCCGCCCCCGGCCCGGCCAGAGUAGAGCACAGUCUCCAAGAUGCCGGAAAUAAGAUGGAAAAUGCCUUUACCUCUGUUUCUGUAUUGUCUGUCCUUGUUAAUUGUAUAACGGCAUUGAGUGCUUGCUGUAUGUGCGUUCUGUAAUCAGCCUGGAAUCCCCUCAGGAA
This 1059-nucleotide long non-coding RNA is filed under the name Anolis carolinensis (green anole). RNAcentral's name for it is "lncRNA (ENSACAG00000044866.1)". The record is from RNAcentral. Lineage: Eukaryota; Metazoa; Chordata; Lepidosauria; Squamata; Anolidae.